This 73-nucleotide transfer RNA is filed under the name Chloroflexota bacterium. Its description in RNAcentral is "tRNA-Gly". It matches the Rfam family "tRNA". From Rfam's summary of the family: Transfer RNA (tRNA) molecules are approximately 80 nucleotides in length. Their secondary structure includes four short double-helical elements and three loops (D, anti-codon, and T loops). Lineage: Bacteria; Bacillati; Chloroflexota. The record is from RNAcentral.
GCGGGGGUAGCUCAGUUGGUAGAGCGCUAGCCUUCCAAGCUGGAUGUCGCGGGUUCGAGCCCCGUCCCCCGCU